AUGUCGUCUCCCUCCUCCUCCAACCAUGAGGGCAACGAUGCUUGGCUAAUGAAUAUAGAGCUGAAGAGAGAAGAACCCAUGGAGAUCAACAAGGAUGAAGGGAUCAAGAAAUCCAUGGGGGAUCAAGUUCCGGCAACAGAAGACACCCUUCAACUUGAUCACAAUCUUCUUACCCCAACAGAGAUCGAAGCUUUCAAGAUGAUUGAGUUAGCUCGUAUACAAAAUAAGUAUCUCACACGUGAAAAUAUUUUGUUGAAGGAGCAUAUCAUCGCACUCAAGGGCAUUAUUCCGCAAGUUAGAAGACCUCCUACGCUCGAUGUGCGACUAUCCAUCAUCAACAACUCCACCUUAUUCACCAACAAAGGAGACAUAAUCACAUGGGUAUGGGCACUCCCCUUGGCAACUGCCAAGCUUGGGGGAGUGCCCCGGUAUCGUAUCACCAUCACUUUUAUCUUUACCGUUUUUCUUAGUUCGAUCCUUUUGGUAAUAUCUUGA
This 495-nucleotide ribosomal RNA is filed under the name Triticum aestivum (bread wheat). Its description in RNAcentral is "partial small subunit ribosomal RNA". The record is from RNAcentral. Lineage: Eukaryota; Viridiplantae; Streptophyta; Magnoliopsida; Poales; Poaceae.